This 427-nucleotide ribosomal RNA is filed under the name uncultured archaeon. RNAcentral's name for it is "bacterial SSU rRNA". It matches the Rfam family "Archaeal small subunit ribosomal RNA", at positions 474 to 903 of the family's 1478-position model. The record is from RNAcentral.
UACCAGCUCUUCGAGUGGUGUGGAUGUUUAUUGGGCCUAAAGCAUCCGUAGCUGGCUGGGCAAGUCCCCUGUUAAAUCCACCGAUUCAAUCGUUGGAGUGCGGGGGAUACUGCUCGGCUAGGGGACGGGAGAGGCAGACGGUAUUUUCGGGGUAGGGGUGAAAUCCUAUAAUCCCGGGAAGACCACCAGUGGCGAAGGCUGUCUGCUAGAACGCGCCCGACGGUGAGGGAUGAAAGCUGGGGGAGCGAACCGGAUUAGAUACCCGGGUAGUCCCAGCUGUAAACGAUGCAGGCUAGGUGUUUGGACGGCCACGUGCCGUUCUAGUGCCGCAGGGAAGCCGUUAAGCCUGCCGCCUGGGGAGUACGGCCGCAAGGCUGAAACUUAAGGAAUUGGCGGGGAGCACCACAAGGGGUGAAGCUUGCGGUUU